GACGAACGCUGGCGGCGUGCUUAACACAUGCAAGUCGAACGGAAAGGCCCUGCUUUUGUGGGGUGCUCGAGUGGCGAACGGGUGAGUAACACGUAGUAACCUGCCCUUGACUUUGGGAUAACUUCAGGAAACUGGGGCUAAUACCGGAUAGGAGCUCCUGCUGCAUGGUGGGGGUUGGAAAGUUUCGGCGGUUGGGGAUGGACUCGCGGCCUAUCAGCUUGUUGGUGGGGUAGUGGCUUACCAAGGCUUUGACGGGUAGCCGGCCUGAGAGGGUGACCGGCCACAUUGGGACUGAGAUACGGCCCAGACUCCUACGGGAGGCAGCAGUGGGGAAUAUUGCACAAUGGGCGGAAGCCUGAUGCAGCAACGCCGCGUGCGGGAUGACGGCCUUCGGGUUGUAAACCGCUUUCGCCUGUGACGAAGCGUGAGUGACGGUAAUGGGUAAAGAAGCACCGGCUAACUACGUG
RNAcentral lists this ribosomal RNA (467 nucleotides) under uncultured bacterium. RNAcentral describes it as "partial 16S ribosomal RNA". It matches the Rfam family "Bacterial small subunit ribosomal RNA", at positions 28 to 507 of the family's 1533-position model. The record is from RNAcentral.